AGAUUAUUGAUUGAUUAAUGGGCUGAUUGAUGGGGUUAGUGAAAGAUUGAUGGCAUUAUUGAUAAAUUAACGGGUUUAUUAAUGAGAUUAAUAAGGUAUUGAUGGGAUUAUUGACUGAUUAUUGUGAUUAUUGAUGUGCUAAUGGAAUAAUUAAUGGGAUUAUUGAUGGGAUUGAUGAGAUUGGAGGUCAAUUAAUGGAAUGACUGAUGUGAUUAAUGAGGGAUUGAUGGGAUUUUUGACUAAUUAAUGGGAUUAUUGAUGGACUGAUGGAGUAAUUAAUGGGAUUAUUGGUUGAUUAAUGGGAUUAUUGAUGGGAUUAAUGAGGGAUCGAUGGGAUUAUUGGUUGAUUAAUGGGAUGACUGAUGGGAUUAAUGAGGGAUCGAUGGGAUUAUUGGUUGAUUAAUGGGAUGAUUGAUGGGAUUAUUGACUGAUUAAUGGGAUUAUUGAUUAAUUGGAUGAUUGGUGAGAUUAUUGAUGGAUUGAUGGGAUUAUUGAUUGAUUUAUAGGAUUAUUGAUGAACUGAUUGAAUAAUUAAGGGCAUUAUUGAUGGGACUGAUAGAAUUAUUGAUUGAUUAAUGGGUUUAUUGAUGAGAUUAAUGAUGGACUGACGCCAUUAAUGAUUGAUUAAUGGGAUGACUCACAGGAUUAAUGAGAGAUUGAUAAGAUUAUGGAUUGCUUAAUGGGAUUAUUGAUGAACUGACGAAAUAAUUAGUGGCAUUAUUGAUCUAAUUAAUGGGUUUACUGCUGUAUCAAUAAGAUUAUUGAUGAAUUAAUGGGAUUAUUGAUGGAUUAAUAGGAUUAUUGAUGAAUUAAUGGGAUUAUUGAUGAAUUAAUAGGAUUGU
This 842-nucleotide long non-coding RNA is filed under the name Phasianus colchicus (ring-necked pheasant). RNAcentral describes it as "lncRNA (ENSPCLG00000019722.1)". The record is from RNAcentral. Lineage: Eukaryota; Metazoa; Chordata; Aves; Galliformes; Phasianidae.